AUUGAACGCUGGCGGCAUGCCUUACACAUGCAAGUCGAACGGCAGCACGGGAGCAAUCCUGGUGGCGAGUGGCGAACGGGUGAGUAAUAUAUCGGAACGUGCCCAGUCGUGGGGGAUAACUACUCGAAAGAGUGGCUAAUACCGCAUACGAUCUACGGAUGAAAGCGGGGGACCUUAGGGCCUCGCGCGAUUGGAGCGGCCGAUAUCAGAUUAGGUAGUUGGUAGGGAUAAAAGCUUACCAAGCGACGAUCUGUAGCUGGUCUGAGAGGACGACCAGCCACACUGGACUGAGACACGGCCCAGACUCCUACGGGAGGCAGCAGUGGGGAAUUUUGGACAAUGGGGGAAACCCUGGAUCCAGCCAUGCCGCGUGCAGGAUGAAGGCC
This 386-nucleotide ribosomal RNA is filed under the name uncultured bacterium. RNAcentral describes it as "bacterial SSU rRNA". It matches the Rfam family "Bacterial small subunit ribosomal RNA", at positions 30 to 416 of the family's 1533-position model. The record is from RNAcentral.